UGCGGUUAUACAAAAAUUAAAUUAAUUUCUUUUAGGGUUUAAUAAAUAAUAAUUUAUUUAAUAAUUUAAAUUUUAAAUUAAAAAGUGAAAUUUUAAUUUAAUUAAAAUUUAUUUAUUUUUAUGACAUUAAUAAAUUUUAUAAAAAACUAGGAUUAGAUACCCUAUUAUAAAAAUUUAAAUUUAAUAAUCUUAAAAUAGUAUAUAAUUUUUAUAGAAACUUAAAUAAUUUGGCGGUAUUUUAGUUCAUUUAGAGGAAUCUGUCUAAUAAUUGAUAAUCCACGAUUAAAUUUACUUAAUUUUUAAUUUUGUAUAUCGUUGUUAAAAAAAUAUUUUUUAUGAAAAAUAAUAUUUUAAAAUUUUAAUAAAAAAUUAAAUCAGAUCAAGAUGCAGAUUAUAAUUAAGAAUAUGAUGGAUUACAAUAAAUUUUAUUUUUGGAUAUUAAUUUGAAAUAAAUUAAUUGAAAUUGGAUUUAAAUGUAAUUUUAUUAAUUUUGUUAAAAUGAUUUUAAAUUAAAAUAUGUACAUAUUGCCCGUCGCUUUCAUUUAUAAAUUGAAAUAAGUCGUAACAAAGUAGAGGUACUGGAAAGUGUUUCUAGAAAGAU
This 601-nucleotide ribosomal RNA is filed under the name Zygaena olivieri dsidsilia. Its description in RNAcentral is "partial 12S ribosomal RNA". The record is from RNAcentral. Lineage: Eukaryota; Metazoa; Arthropoda; Insecta; Lepidoptera; Zygaenidae.